CGGGUAACGCACCCUUUCCUUCGGGACAGAGGAGACAGGUGGUGCAUGGUUGUCGUCAGCUCGUGUCGUGAGAUGUUGGGUUAAGUCCCGCAACGAGCGCAACCCUUGUCAUUAGUUGCCAGCAGUUCGGCUGGGCACUCUAGUGAGACUGCCGGGGAUAACUCGGAGGAAGGUGGGGAUGACGUCAAAUCAUCAUGCCCCUUAUGUUCUGGGCUACACACGUGCUACAAUGGCUGGUACAAAGAGACGCAAGAUCGCGAGGUGGAGCAAAUCUCAAAAACCAGUCCCAGUUCGGAUUGUAGGCUGCAACUCGCCUACAUGAAGUUGGAGUUGCUAGUAAUCGCGAAUCAGAAUGUCGCGGUGAAUGCGUUCCCGGGUCUUGUACACACCGCCCGUCACACCAUGGAAGUUGGGGGCGCCCGAAGUCGGCCGUUAAUAGGCUGCCUAAGGCGAAAUCAAUGACUGGGGUGAAGUCGUAACAAGGUAGCCGUAUCGGAAGGUGCGGCU
RNAcentral lists this ribosomal RNA (507 nucleotides) under uncultured bacterium. RNAcentral describes it as "bacterial SSU rRNA". It matches the Rfam family "Bacterial small subunit ribosomal RNA", at positions 1001 to 1519 of the family's 1533-position model. The record is from RNAcentral.